UGUGCCCUAGAUACUAGUGCACCACAACUCUUUUUUACUUGCUUCCCAACAGCAUUUAAUCACUUGGACUUUCCUCAAGAAAAGGGUCACCUGCAACAGAUUCUUAGCAUUACCAAAACAAAAAAAAAUCUUUGCAGAAGCCUUUUUGGAAUUAUAUUCUUGUGCUAAAAUGUGUUAAUGGCCACAGUCAAAUGGGACUUUGAUCUGCAGAUAAUCAACAGAUUUGAAGCAGACGGGUGUGCUAAUCUCGCAGGCUGGCACAGCACACAGAUAGGUCUGCCAAUAACCCAGGCUGUAAGGAAGGAUGAAAUAAGUUAUGUAGUUUGAUAACUGGAAAUAAUAGAAGGCUGCAUCUAACAGUUUAUGUGGCAAAGAAGCUGAAUCAUCUAAGCUGUUUAUAAAUGUGAAGGCUAAAAGAUUUAUUGUGCAGAAGGUGAUGGGAAGGACAAAAGAAGCUGCAACACCUUUCAGAGAACCAACAUAGCCUUAAGGCUAAUAUCUCUAUCUUGUGUAAGACAGAAGGACAUCAAUGUUGCUGAGUGUGUGAGGCACAGGACCAUGAGGACCAGAUAAGAUCUUCAAGACAACCAGCAUUGUGAGCUGUUGGGAUAACUCAUUCUACUGAAAGCCACCAGAGGACACUCGGAGGGAGAUGAAAAUGGAGGUGUUAGCUGUUGCAUGCAAGAAUCAUUGGUGCUUCCAGAACUGUCUGCGUCUGCCCAGGAUUUUAAACUGAGCUUGGAGUCCGGUGGUGAGUUUGGAGAUACUCUGGAGCAGCCACAGAGCCCAGGUGCUGCAAAACUCGCCCUGCUGGUGUUGUUUGGCUCAAACAGCUGGAAGCAGACCCAGAAUAGCACCUGGAUCUCAAACACUUCUUCCCCUGGACACGGAGACACUGGAAAUGUUUCAGCCAUGGCUCCAUCCUGAUGGUGCCCCAAGGCUCCUCUGCUCCUGUCCUGACAUCCCAACUUGCAGCAAUGUCAUCUACUUCCUCCUGCAAUAAUGAGAAAAACUGACAUAUGGGGCCUGAGAGAUGCACCUUACAGAGGUGGACAUUGUGUCGGUGUCCUCAGGAGGAAAACUGGAAGCAGGCACUCUGGAACAGGGCUUUGACAUGCCUGGUGCUCAGAAAGGAGCUCAGGUUGAAAGAUUCAUAGAAGUCAUGAGUUCCACAACAGACAUGGAAAUGUUCUUUGUCAUUUAUUGAGGAGUUGGUAACUUCUGGGCCUUUCCUUUUCCAUUAUGCGUGUGCUUGAGACAAGACAAAGCUGCUGAGAAACGGAGGAUAUUUAUGAAAUAGUAGUUUCCGUGGCUGAGCUUUUUUAGGAAGAAUACUUCAGCUGAAGAGUUAGAACAGUCUGUGUCUCAAAUAAAUCUGAAUGAUGGAAAUUCAUACUGAAGAAAAGACAGAAGAAGAAAACAGUGGAGUAAAAGAUAUUUUUAAAAUCUAAAAUGCUUAAAUCUAAAAAGUCUGUCUCAGUCUGUAUGUAUAGAAAUAGCUAGAUAAAGUUAGAGAUUUCCUGAUAAUGCUUCUCAUAACAUUAUUCAAGUAAAUAUAAGGAAAAGUUAGGAACUUAUAUGCCCACUAUGUGAAAAGGUGCUUUCUAUUUUGGGUGGCUUUUAGCAGGAAACAUAUGCAUAAAUUUAUUUUAUUAUUUUGAUAAAAUAUUUCCUUCAAGAGUUUUCAGAAGAGAGCAGAAAUAAAAGCAUAUGGUUCUUCCAAGCCUCAGAAAACAUGUUUACAUAUCAGGGAAUCUAUUUUGUAGAAAUCAAUAUGUUUUUAUUGCAUCUGGGGAAGAAUAAUAUUAGACACUUGUUGGUUCUUGGUAUUCUUAAACUCUGUUUGCAAAGGGAAGCAAAUAAUUUUACAGCUGCUUCCAAGAGAGCAUAUUAUUAGAUCUUAAUACUUAACUGUAUUUCCUCACAAACAUGGAUUUGCUGUUGUUAUUGUUGUGACUGUGUCCAGGUGAUCAUAUAGUUUGAAAGAAA
Long non-coding RNA from Apus apus (common swift), 1989 nucleotides. RefSeq lists it as uncharacterized. Lineage: Eukaryota; Metazoa; Chordata; Aves; Apodiformes; Apodidae. The record is from RefSeq and is a predicted model, not a curated record. The transcript has 7 exons.